UCACUGGUAGUUCAAUGGUAGAAUUCUUACCUUCCAUGUAGGAGACCUCAGUUUGAUUCCUGGUCAAUGCA
This 71-nucleotide transfer RNA is filed under the name Loxodonta africana (African savanna elephant). It matches the Rfam family "tRNA". From Rfam's summary of the family: Transfer RNA (tRNA) molecules are approximately 80 nucleotides in length. Their secondary structure includes four short double-helical elements and three loops (D, anti-codon, and T loops). Further hydrogen bonds mediate the characteristic L-shaped molecular structure. tRNAs have two regions of fundamental functional importance: the anti-codon, which is responsible for specific mRNA codon recognition, and the 3' end, to which the tRNAs corresponding amino acid is attached (by aminoacyl-tRNA synthetases). tRNAs cope with the degeneracy of the genetic code in two manners: having more than one tRNA (with a specific anti-codon) for a particular amino acid; and 'wobble' base-pairing, i.e. permitting non-standard base-pairing at the 3rd anti-codon position. Lineage: Eukaryota; Metazoa; Chordata; Mammalia; Proboscidea; Elephantidae. The record is from Rfam by way of RNAcentral.